GCCGGGCGUGGUGGUGCGCGCCUGUAAUCCCAGCUACUUGGGAGGCUGAGGCAGGAGAAUUGCUUGAACCUGGGAGGCGGAGGCUGCAGUGAGCCCAGAUUGUGCCACUGCACUCCAGCCUGGGCAACAGAGCAAGACUCUGUCUCAA
RNAcentral lists this signal recognition particle RNA (148 nucleotides) under Pan paniscus (pygmy chimpanzee). RNAcentral's name for it is "Metazoan signal recognition particle RNA". It matches the Rfam family "Metazoan signal recognition particle RNA". From Rfam's summary of the family: The signal recognition particle (SRP) is a universally conserved ribonucleoprotein. RNAcentral also lists the same sequence under 1 other name. Lineage: Eukaryota; Metazoa; Chordata; Mammalia; Primates; Hominidae. The record is from Rfam by way of RNAcentral.